Non-coding RNA from Arachis ipaensis, 304 nucleotides. The record is from RefSeq and is a predicted model, not a curated record. Lineage: Eukaryota; Viridiplantae; Streptophyta; Magnoliopsida; Fabales; Fabaceae.
CCUUCUUCCUUUCUUUAUUUAUUUGGUAUUUCGUUUAUUCUUUCUUUUUUUUGUCUAGGUUUUCAUGUUUUUACAAGAGGAGAAGCGCCCCUUACACAUUUCAAACGAUGCUUCUAUCCCAGAUCUGCUCGCUACUCAUGUGCCACUUGAACACAGAACAAAAGACGUUGAAGCAAAAUCCAAUCCGCCAACGACGCAUCAGUGCCGCCGCGUCGCCCUGCACUUUCAGUUUGUGGGUCUUUCUUGUUCACCAUCACUGCUCUGUUCCAUCCUCUUCUCUUAUCUGGUUUGUUCUUCACUCUUU